CUAAGGCCGAUGGCGACCGGCGCACGGGUGAGUAACACGUAUCCAACCUGCCGUCUAUUCUUGGACAGCCUUCUGAAAGGAAGAUUAAUACAAGAUGGCAUCAUGAGUCCGCAUGUUCACAUGAUUAAAGGUAUUCCGGUAGACGAUGGGGAUGCGUUCCAUUAGAUAGUAGGCGGGGUAACGGCCCACCUAGUCUUCGAUGGAUAGGGGUUCUGAGAGGAAGGUCCCCCACAUUGGAACUGAGACACGGUCCAAACUCCUACGGGAGGCAGCAGUGAGGAAUAUUGGUCAAUGGGCGAGAGCCUGAACCAGCCAAGUAGCGUGAAGGAUGACUGCCCUAUGGGUUGUAAACUUCUUUUAUAAAGGAAUAAAGUCGGGUAUGCAUACCCGUUUGCAUGUACUUUAUGAAUAAGGAUCGGCUAACUCCGUGCCAGCAGCCGCGGUAAUACGGAGGAUCCGAGCGUUAUCCGGAUUUAUUGGGUUUAAAGGGAGCGUAGAUGGAUGUUUAAGUCAGUUGUGAAAGUUUGCGGCUCAACCGUAAAAUUGCAGUUGAUACUGGAUAUCUUGAGUGCAGUUGAGGCAGGCGGAAUUCGUGGUGUAGCGGUGAAAUGCUUAGAUAUCACGAAGAACUCCGAUUGCGAAGGCAGCCUGCUAAGCUGCAACUGACA
RNAcentral lists this ribosomal RNA (668 nucleotides) under uncultured Bacteroidales bacterium. RNAcentral's name for it is "bacterial SSU rRNA". It matches the Rfam family "Bacterial small subunit ribosomal RNA", at positions 79 to 745 of the family's 1533-position model. The record is from RNAcentral. Lineage: Bacteria; Pseudomonadati; Bacteroidota; Bacteroidia; Bacteroidales.